This 577-nucleotide ribosomal RNA is filed under the name uncultured beta proteobacterium. Its description in RNAcentral is "bacterial SSU rRNA". It matches the Rfam family "Bacterial small subunit ribosomal RNA", at positions 19 to 591 of the family's 1533-position model. The record is from RNAcentral. Lineage: Bacteria; Pseudomonadati; Pseudomonadota; Betaproteobacteria.
AUGGCUCAGAUUGAACGCUGGCGGCAUGCUUUACACAUGCAAGUCGAACGGCAGCACGGGGGCAACCCUGGUGGCGAGUGGCGAACGGGUGAGUAAUGCAUCGGAACGUGCCCAGUCGUGGGGGAUAACGUAGCGAAAGUUACGCUAAUACCGCAUACGACCUGAGGGUGAAAGUGGGGGACCGCAAGGCCUCACGCGAUUGGAGCGGCCGAUGUCAGAUUAGCUAGUUGGUGGGGUAAAGGCCUACCAAGGCGACGAUCUGUAGCGGGUCUGAGAGGAUGAUCCGCCACACUGGGACUGAGACACGGCCCAGACUCCUACGGGAGGCAGCAGUGGGGAAUUUUGGACAAUGGGCGAAAGCCUGAUCCAGCCAUUCCGCGUGAGUGAAGAAGGCCUUCGGGUUGUAAAGCUCUUUCGGCAGGAAAGAAAUCGUUGCUCCUAAUACGAGUAAUGGAUGACGGUACCUGAAGAAGAAGCACCGGCUAACUACGUGCCAGCAGCCGCGGUAAUACGUAGGGUGCGAGCGUUAAUCGGAAUUACUGGGCGUAAAGCGUGCGCAGGCGGUUUUGUAAGUCAG